RNAcentral lists this ribosomal RNA (458 nucleotides) under uncultured bacterium. RNAcentral describes it as "bacterial SSU rRNA". It matches the Rfam family "Bacterial small subunit ribosomal RNA", at positions 29 to 507 of the family's 1533-position model. The record is from RNAcentral.
AGCGAACGCUGGCGGCAGGCUUAACACAUGCAAGUCGAACGCCAUCUUCGGAUGGAGUGGCAGACGGGUGAGUAACGCGUGGGAACGUACCCUUUGGUUCGGAAUAUUCUCGGGAAACUGGGAGCAAUACCGGAUAAGCCCUACGGGGGAAAGAUUUAUCGCCAAAGGAGCGGCCCGCGUCAGAUUAGGUAGUUGGUGGGGUAAAGGCUCACCAAGCCAACGAUCUGUAGCUGGUCUGAGAGGACGACCAGCCACACUGGAACUGAGACACGGUCCAGACUCCUACGGGAGGCAGCAGUGGGGAAUUUUGGACAAUGGACGCAAGUCUGAUCCAGCCAUUCCGCGUGCAGGAUGAAGGCCCUCGGGUUGUAAACUGCUUUUGUACGGAACGAAAAGGUUUCUAUUAAUACUAGGAGCUCAUGACGGUACCGUAAGAAUAAGCACCGGCUAACUACGUG